GGUGAACCUGCGGAAGGAUCAUUGUCGAAACCUGCCCAGCAGAACGACCAGCGAACAUGUUUAACUCUCUCGGGCGUCGGGGAGAUGUGGGCAGCAUUGUGCUCCUACUUCCCCCGUGCUCGAGCCGGGGUUGUGGCCCCUUGUGGGCUCUUCCUUGGCCUCUCAACGAACCCCGACGCGAAAAGCGUCAAGGAACAUAAACUACAUAUGUGCUCCCUCCUGCCGCCCGGUUAGCCGGCGUGGGGGCGGUGCCAUGUCAUAACAUUAAACGACUCUCGGCAACGGAUAUCUCGGCUCUCGCAUCGAUGAAGAACGUAGCGAAAUGCGAUACUUGGUGUGAAUUGCAGAAUCCCGUGAACCAUCGAGUCUUUGAACGCAAGUUGCGCCCGAGGCCUUUGGUCGAGGGCACGUCUGCCUGGGCGUCACGCAUCGCAACCCCCCAACCCACCCUGUGUGGGAUGGGGAGGAAGAUGGCUUCCCGUGCCUCACCGGGCGCGGUUGGCCUAAAUUCGGAGCCUAAGGCAUCGAGUUGCCGCGGCUAUAGGUGGUGAACAAGGCCUUGGCCGUGUAAACAACCGGCCGUGCUUCCCGUUGACGGUAAGUGCUCGUAGGACCCUUUGAUGUCGCAUCUAUACGACACAAACGUUGCGACCCCAGGUCAGGCGGGGCUA
This 671-nucleotide ribosomal RNA is filed under the name Stellaria cuspidata. RNAcentral describes it as "eukaryotic LSU rRNA". The stretch from base 271 to 425 matches the Rfam family "5.8S ribosomal RNA". The record is from RNAcentral. Lineage: Eukaryota; Viridiplantae; Streptophyta; Magnoliopsida; Caryophyllales; Caryophyllaceae.